Marmota monax (woodchuck) is the source of this 3574-nucleotide long non-coding RNA. RefSeq lists it as uncharacterized. Lineage: Eukaryota; Metazoa; Chordata; Mammalia; Rodentia; Sciuridae. The transcript is spliced from 2 exons. The record is from RefSeq and is a predicted model, not a curated record.
CGCACGACCACACGCGAGAGCCGCCCGCGCGAGGGUGGCUUUCGGCCCCUAGGCGUCAGGCCUCCGGCAGCGCCAGCAGCGCGACCAGGGAGCAGGCGUGGCUACACGCCGCCUCACGGCGGUGGCCGGGAAUAUAUCAGCGCCGCUACCUCCUCUUCCGUCGCCCUCCUCCCACCUCUCCACCCUCCCCCGCCGCGCUCUGCGAGGAAGAGGAGCGGGGCCCCCAGGCCGCCUCCCGGUCUUCCCGCCCCAAGGCUGCGCGUCAGUGGGCCGACUGCCCGCGCCGGGGGCCACGGACGGCGUCUGGGCGCUGGCACGCCGGUCACGGAUGCUACCAAGGCAGCUGCCACCACAGCGACGGCUUCAGGGGUUCUUCUCGCUUUUUCUUUUUUUCUUCUUCUUUCCUUUUUUUUUUUUUUUUAAUUCUGAGCUCGCAGUGCUUGGGCUAGGCUGGCGAGAUCUCGCGAGAUGCUGCAGGGCGACUCAGCCGCUUCCCCUCAGGCGCGUGGUACCUGAGGCCCGGCCGCCGCUGCCGGCCGCCGCGGUUCCUACGGUGAUGCUGGGGGCUCUCCUGUGGGGCCCGCGGGCUGGUGCGUCUUCUGCAAUGCCUUCUCGGAGUUCUGGCUGGCCGCCACGCCACGCUCUCAUUCGUGGCCUGAACUUGAGGAGAGGCAGCUUCCCUCCUUGAGGCCUCUUAGUCUGACACUCAGGCAGCCAGGCAGUUAGAUUUGCAUAACUAGAAUCAGUUCCAGUCGUGAUGCAGAGGGUGUGUCCACAUUUCCGACGACUACACUUUUAUUUUAAAGACUGAUAUCUGAAGCUUCUUGGGAAGUCGGUGAAUCCUGCAUGCUGAAUUGAAUGUCUGGAGCUACAGCAGUGUGGCUGGGCCAAACCAUGGCUGUAUAACAGGUUGGUGUGUCUUGGCUCAACUGCAGUACUGGUCCAACAUGCCUCAAGCCCACUGUGCCUCAGGCCUGCACUCCGGCUCGUACAGGUUUUGCUCUGCUGCUCCACUAAUUCACUCUGAUGCCACUUCUUCACAGGGUCCAUUGGACUGGUGGCAUAGGUUUGCGACCAGGGAGCCAUGUUACCAGGGGUGUUUUACCACUGAGCUACAUACAUUCCAGUCCUUUUAUUUAUUUAUUUAUUUAUUUAUUGAGAUAUAGUGUCACUAAGUUGAAGAGAAUGACUUCAAACUUGAGAUCCUCCUGCUUCGACUUCCCUAGUCACUGGGAUUAUAAGUAUGUGUUACCACAACUGGCUGGUCCUUUUCAAUUUUAUUAUCCAAAGAUAGUUUCAUUUUCAGAUCUUUGCUAAUGAAGACAUACCUUUAAAAGUUUAUUAGCCAAGCUUAGUGGUACUCACUGUAGUCACAGCUAUUCAAAAGGCUAUCAUGGGAAGAUUGCUUGAGCCCAGGAGUUUGAGGCCAACCUGGGAAACAGAACUUGUCUCAAAAAUUAAAAAGUUUAUUAUUCAUUUAUAUAUCUUUAUUUCUAAAUUGUCUGAUGAUGUUUAUAGUAGACCUUUGCUGUAUCAUGGAAAGCUCACUUGUAUCCUGUCUUGUUUUGGUAAGAAUGUGCAAUUUUCUUUUUUUAGUUAUUGUUUUUUCAAUAGGAUGAAGAAUUACUUCUCUGUAACUUGCCUGUUCCAGCCAAAUUGUGAGCAUGAAAAAAUGAACCAAUCUGGCUCUUUUAAACAUUUUGAAUUUCAGGUGUUAGAAGCAAAGUCAGAAAUCAAGUCUGUUUGUUGGGACUGUUAGCUCCUUUUAUCUUGCUUCUUAUAUCACAAAGGAACUGCCUGCCAGGUUGAUGGUAAAUACAAAGGGCCUCCACUCAAUUUGGGACAACUCUAAAGGGCCAUUCCAGCAUAAGCACCUUAUGAGAAUGGAUGAGGCUUUAUUUGUAUCCUGUGCGUCUGCUUCUCCCCCUACCCAGUCCUACUCUUCCUCCUUUCCUUAGAGAUAUAUCUCCUGGGAACACUUGCUAGCAAAGUUUCUGUUCAUCAUUGCCUUCCUCAGUCUAUUUCCAAGGUACUGUCUAUUUAUUUAUUUAUUUAUUUAUUUAUUUAUUUUGUUUUUUUUUUAUUAGAAGUUUAUUAAAGGACAGCAGAAAAGACUUCUCCCAGAGGAAGAAGGGGACCCAAGAGGUGGAAUCCUGUCUAUUUAUUUUUAGUAACAACAUUCAGGAAAGACUACACAGUUGUCUUGAUACAAGGACCCUCUGAAACUACUUCUCUUAUCCUUUCUGCAUAAGGUUCUUCUUCCUUUUAGCUUUUCCAUAUUCUCCUAGUAAUUCACUGUUUUACUUAAACAUUUGGGUUCUUUGGCUUGUAAUCAAAGAUCAGUGUUAACACAAAAUCCUUUACCAUUUUUCUGGUGUUUUCUUUUUAACCAUUUUUAAGAAUAUCUUAUGUAUUACAAACAUAAACCUUACACUGAAAUGGUUUUCUCCAGUUUGUUAGUUGCAUUGUAAGUUUGUUCAUCAUAAUAUUGACAUGCAAUUAUUUAGAAAAUGCCAUAAACUAUCUAGGUAUUUUUCUUUAUUUUUCUUUAUGAUUCUUACUUUUCAUAGCAAUGCUUAGAGAGGCUUUUGUUAUCACAAGAUCAUAUAAGUAAAUAUCUAUGUAUUUUAUGCUUUUAUUUUUAUCCCCUAAUUUUUAUGGGAAAAAAAAAACGGAAGCCUUCAUUUGUUGUUGUUUUCAAAUCAGUGGGAAGAAGGAACUAGAGAGUAGAAAACAAGCAGCUUAUGUCUCUCUUUCCCUCCCUCUCUUUUUCUUUCUCACACACUCACACACUAACAGAUGUGCAAUGACAUUUUAAUCGUAUAUGCCAAAAGUAAGACAUUUGGGUAUGCAUACCAGAUUGGGAAAUAAAAUGUUUUGAUUGUUGUUACUGCUGUUAUUUUGGUGCUAAAGAUUGAACCCAGGGCUUUGGACAGAAAAUACAGCUUUCUACCUCAUAAUCCUGUGGCCAGCCAUAACCCAUAGAGUUCAGGAAGCCCCCAUGGUCAUGAGAACUGCCAGUGGGUAGAAACCUCUAUUUUAAAGGAUUAUAAAAUAUUUUAAAAUGAUAAUUAUGUUGAACAUGGAAUUAAAAAUGUACCUACAUAAGUUAAGGGAAAAUUAAUACAUAGCUAACAUUUUAUAAGAAUUUUCUCCUUACAAAAUUAGGUGUGUGUGUGUGUGUGUGUGUGUACACAAUAAUAAUUCUAAAAUUAUAUUCUACUCCACCAACACUACCAUAUUUUUUUAAGGAGAUUAUUUUAAUCCUCUUGAUAGUCUUAUACUUUUAAAAAUCUCUUGUUCUUUCUGUAUAGGCUACAUAGAUAGGAGUAAUGAUGAUAGGAUGUAUAAUAUGAUUGCUUAAGAGCAUUUAUAAUUUAUUAAAUAAAUUUAUCAUGAAAUGUAAUAUCCUUGAAAAAGAAUGACCCUUAUCUAAUUUAGGAAUAAAUGUUAAAGAUCUCAUAAUGAAAUAAGAAUUCGAAAUUCUAGGGGAUACCGCGUUACCACCUAUGGCCCCUUUCUCCCUCACGGGAGAAGUCUAUGUUACCUCUUUUUAAAUAAACUCUGCUUCAUA